This 14157-nucleotide long non-coding RNA is filed under the name Oryza sativa (Asian cultivated rice). RNAcentral's name for it is "long non-coding RNA (OSAT_LNC000590)". The record is from RNAcentral. Lineage: Eukaryota; Viridiplantae; Streptophyta; Magnoliopsida; Poales; Poaceae.
GCGAGUGUCGUGUUAUCCACAGGGACUAGGCCAUGGCUACUAGUGUUUAGCUAAAGCUAGGUCAAACAACAAUUGAGAACAAAGAAAAAAAAUAGAAAUAAACAACAGGAGAACUCGGAAGAAAUUAAACAGGAUGAAGAAGAAAUUAACUAUCGCAGGAUCUUAAUACUCUCAUAUAUCAUAACCAGAGAUUCAUGCAUUUGACUAGCACUGACAGAAAUUACAAGCUCCAAAUAUUAAAUUCUUAACAAAUCUGAAACAGUACAAGUAGGAGGAAGAAGAUAGAAAUCGUGCAGUAAGAAGGAAAAAGAAGAAGGGGAAGAAGAGGAUGCAGCAGCAACAGGUUACAGAUCAGUUGUCAAGGAAGUAGUAGAGGAAGAACAGUAGCAGUAGCAGAUUAGGUUGUCUCCACUGUCCCGGUCGAUUUGGAAGAGCUGCAGGAGGAUGUAUAUGACGUUUUCAGGCGAAUUGGAGCAACUUUCUGGUGGGAGGGGAUGUGGAGUAGCUGGAGAUGGUGGCUGCCGACGAGGUUAGGCCUGGCCCUCGCUGGUGCCGGAGCUAUAGAUGGGAUGGGGAAGAAGGAGAAGGGAGGAGAUGGCGAGGAAGAAGAGAAGGGGAGAAAGAAAAUGCCAGGCCCAGUUGUACAGUAGCAUUUCUAGGGAUUUUAAUCCCCAUCGAUUUGGUUCGCUCUUUGGCACUUUCAACCUUCAUCUCCCCAGAAAUUAUGUUUAGGUCCUUGCUUCACUUGACUUCUUUUGUCUUGCCACACAAAAACUGACAUUUGUUUGCCGUUGGAGACCAAAAUAGCAGAUUACGCGCCUCAUCGCGCCAUUCUGUAGAAAAGUUAAAUAAUGUAUGAAACCAUAUAAAAGGGACAUAUUGUACCACAAAUAAUGUCUGAAAUAUGCAUUAGGAUUAAUUUUAGCCCAUCACAAUAGCAAAACAAGAGGAAGAUCAUGAGAUUAAUGAUGCAAAAUUUGAUUGUAUCAUACCCCCAUGCUUAAACAUUUGCUUGUCCUCAAGUAAAUGAACAAUAAGUUUCGAGAACCAGGAAGAAGCAAUGUGGUAAACAAAAACUAGUCAGAUGAAUGUGAUAAGUCUCAUGGCAUACAUUUAGUGAACUUUAACAUCAUGUAGAUUAGCUUGAAGUUAGCUUGAACUUACAAAAUUAACCAUACUGAGUUUGAAGCAUACAGAACAUAGCUAGCCAUGUCAAGUAAAGGAGGUAGGCAUACUUAAAUGCAAAGGAUAAAAAUGAUACUAAGAUAUAAGAACCCAAGCAAAUCAUGGAUAACUAAGGUAUCUAAAGAUCCUCAGGCUAAAACAUGAUGUUAACCAAAUUUUGCAAGGCAUUGAAGUUAGUCAUAACAUCAAGAAUGAAAAUAUCAAAGCUUAUGCAUAGCUAUUCGAGGUAAAGAUUCUAAAACUCAUAAUCUUUGCGAACAAGUCCAAACUUGAACCUUGAUACUCAAUUUAUUUAAAAAGCAUUUUGGAACACUGGGCACAUGUGCCACUUACCGUUGGAACGACAUAAUCAUUAGUCGGACACCUCAACCCUAAUGCGAUGGCGGGCGCGCAUCAGGUUGCGUGCAUGUGCUAGUGCUGGUCGUGAUUACUGUAUACUUCUUUUGGGGAAGCAAUUCACAAACACUAGCUAAUUACUACUACUCUGUGCAUCUGCCAUGCAUGACAUGACAAGUGCUUCUCACUCAUGCACCCAUAGAUUAUGAAUGCCUAUCCUUUUGGUCACACAUAACUACAAACUCCUCUAUAAUUGCGUGCUUAGCUAUACGACAUGAUGUUGUUAUUGUAGCUAUACUCAGUGGUUGGGCUGGUACCUCAGUAUCUUAUAUUAUUAUACUAUUUUUUACAUGUCAAAAUAUGACUAUCUAUAAUAGUACCUCGAAAGUAUCGUAAAGCAUCUAUCAUGAUACAUGUGGGUAGCAAACCAAGCACAUAUCAGCCGGUAUAUGUGGGUCUCAGUUUUAACAUAUACCUAGUAUGAUACCAAGGUAUCACGUAUGAUACCUAUUAGCUCUAGUAUUUGUGGUACUAAGCAUGAUACAUAUAUGUAUUAGGUUGAUACCCAUAGGUACCGGGUCUGAUACUUAUAUGUACUAGACAUGAUACCUAGGUACCGGUCGUGAUACAUGUAGUUACCAAGUCUGAUACUUUUAAGUACCGUACAUUAUACCCAGGUAUCAGUCGUAAUACAUGUAGGUACCAGACAUGAUACAUGUAGGUACCAGAUCUGAUACUUAUAUAUGUACUAGACAUGAUACCAGGUACCGGUCGUGAUACAUGUAGUUACCAAGUCUGAUACUUAUAAGAACCGUACAUUAUACCCAGGUAUCAGUCGUGAUACAUGUAGGUACCAGACAUGAUACAUGUAGGUACCAGAUCUCAUACUUAUAUAUAUGUACUAGACAUGGUACCUAGGUACCGGUCAUGAUACAUGUAGUUACCAAGUCUGAUACUUAUAAGUACCAUAAAUGAUACCCAAAUAUCGGUCGUGAUAUAUGUAGGUACCAGACAUGAUACCUAGAUAUAUAAGACUCAUAUACUCACGCUAUUUUACCUUGAAACAGGACCGUUCAUCAUCAGGUCACAUAGGAUCACAUAUAGCAAUAGAGAAUCAAGUCAUUUUCUCUUGCUCAUGGGCACUGGCAAUUUUAACUUCGAUUUGAUGCAUAUGGCAUCAUCAAGGCAGGAGUAGUAUUAGACCGUCAGACAUCGACAAUAGUAGACUAGUAGUGCAUGUACUCCUCCUCCAGUACUACUAGUGCAUGCAGUAGUAUAUGGCAGUCAGUAGUAUAGUACGUAGUACUACUAUACUAGUACUGCAUGCGCAGAGAGUUAAUCCGUGGGUCUCGUGGGACCCAUGCGGGAGGAGAGAUGGGUAUCCUCCAGUACUACUAGUGCAUGCAGUAGUAUAUGGCAGUCAGUAGUAUAGUACGUAGUACUACUAUACUAGUACUGCAUGCGCAGAGAGUUAAUCCGUGGGUCUCAUGGGACCCAUGCGGGAGGAGAGAUGGGUAGUUUAUCGCGAUGCUGGGUUGGACGGUUUGAUAUCGUGCAUAACUUGUACCGUCCUGACGGUAUGCCGUUUUAUAGCUUUUUAGAUGAAUUAUACAGUCAAAUAGAAGUUAUACCGCCACUGCAAGUUCUCCUUGAAACUUGGAUUUGUUCCCUGAAAAUAUGUCAUGGAAUAAGAGGACAACAAUAAUCAUAUUACAGCAGGUCAAUUCUUGUUUACAGAUUACAAUGUGACCUUCAAAUCAAGCAAUUCCCAAGCUGCUUUACAUGAAUUACAUGACCUUUUGCAUCCAAACAAAUAGGACAGGAAAACAAUAUCGCGCUGGCAAUGUUGUCAGCCUAAUCCCAGUAAAUUCCAAGGCUUUACAGCUAACAAACACUAGUUUUUUGUUGCAUCUACAUCUUACAAUGAACGGAAGCAUUCUCCUUCCACUACAAUCCGAUUGCGAGCAGCUUGUUUGAUCUCUUGUUUAUCAGAAAGCUUACAUUGUUAUCAUCAAUGUCCGUGAUAGCAACUAGUAGAAAUGAUGUUACUCGCUAUGGCAUUCAGAAAGAAGAGAGUUUUGUCCAUCAGUAAACAUCUUAACAUGACAGAGCUUUCCUCCAGUUUCAUCGGCAAAUGUUAUCUUCUUUCGUUUUCUUGGAACUUCAGAAUGAGAAACAGCCUUCUUCCCUGCUAAUCUCUGGCAUUGAACAUUUAAAUUGAAAAUGUCAGUCGAGUUCAGGAAAACACUCAAUACUCCAAAGUUAGCAUACAAACUUAAAAGCAGAUACCAACCAGUAUUUUACAAAAGCGAUUGCAAUCUUUGUUCAUUAUUGUCAACCAUUUCCUUGUAGUUCUCUCCACCUCUAAUGCAUCCUCAGAGGCUGCUCUGAUCUGCGCAAGAGAAUUAUAAGAUUGCUGUCAAAUAAAUAUCAAGGUAGAUUUGCUUCACUCUCAGCUAAGACCAGAUUGGCAGCAAACAAAUCUAUAGGCUCAACUCUCAAAUCUUCUCAUUUUUCAUAUUAUGAACAAGACUACCAGGAAGCUACUGCUCAUCAUGGUUAAUAUCAAUUUCAACAAUCUUAUCAUAUCAGAGUUAGUUCACAAUUUCUUAUGGCAAAUAAAGUACUACUCCCUCUGUUCCACAUUAUAAGAUGUUUUGGCCUCCCCAUCCCUAGAUUCACUAACAUCCAUAUAAAUUUGGACACAUAUAUGAAGCACAUACAUAGAUCCAUGCAUGAAUCUAUUCAAAACCCAAAAUGUCUUAUAAUGUGAAACAUGGAACUUUUUUGAAAGUUAGGAGUAAUCACUAGUUGAAAACAGAUGAAAAGUUACACCUGCACUAUUAAUAGGACAAAGGUAUGAAGUACAUAUGUUAAGUGUUGAUAAGCCAGUCAGGAAUAUGCUCCUUUUUAGGAAUAGUCUAUUUGACAACCCUGAACUUUCAAAGACUAAAAACAACUUGAACUUCUAUACUGUGCACUUGUUCGAACCUGAACUACUAUUAAAAAUAGAGUUGUUUUUUGGACAUUCGUGAAAUGCGGUUGUAAGAUGGGACAUAAUUCCUUGUAUGACAGUAUAACUGCAGAUUAGUCCACGGUGAUUCUAUGCAACGAGACUCUUGUACUGAUCCUACAAUAUAAUAGCUGGUCCACAAGCUUAGAUAGGUACUUAUGUGAUAUUUACAUAAAAAUAACUAAGGCGCUAAUGAAGUGCAAACACAAAUGCAGACUCUUAUGUUUAUGGGGUAUCUGAAAUUUCCUGCGGAACUUUGGAUAUCCAAGUAAGGAUUCUUCAACCAGUAUUAAUAUUUGAACUAGAAUUAUUAUACUGAGAAAUAUAUUUUUGUGCUCCAGUGUCUAACAGUGUGACUUCAUUUCUUUAGCUAAUGAAAACUCAACUUUAUACUUCUGCCCUACCUAUUAAAGUGUGUACGGUGUAACUUCAUGAAUCAUGAUUACUACAGCCUAGCUAUAUUCUAGAAUCAUCAAUUAAUCACAGAGCAGCAAAAUUAAAUGCAACUCAAAAUAGUAUGCUCAAAUUCCAUUUAUUAAUACUCACCUCAGCAGUGUUGAAAGUAGGUAGCAAAGAAUGUGAUUCUGAUAACAAAUUUCCGUCUACUAUACUUCUCAUGUGAUUCAAGCUUCUCAUAAGUUUGGAUGCAAUGUUUUCUAUAUCAUGCAUUUGCCUUUGUGAAAACUCAACAGCCUUCUCGGCGUCCAAUAUAACUGAAGCAGCUUUCAUGCAAGUACAAGUAGUCUUUUGGGGGGAUGGGGAUUCUGUUCCCUUCAGAAUUCCUUUGCUUGUAGGGGAGAGGGAACUCCUGCCAUUGGGUCUCCUCGUCUUGCCACAAUCUUCAAGAAGGAUCUUUCUCUCUGAAAGAAUAAUGGCCGCAUCAAUAAUGGGAAAUAGUAUUAACUACUCUUAUAAAAAAUAUUAGAAACACUACAAACAGCAUAGAUUGCUUACUGAGCCUUUGGACCCCGCACAAAUCAAUACCAGUCAAAGCACUGCAAAGCUUCUCCUGAGAAGUCGGGGACAUAAUCUUAAAAAAAAUAAAAAAAGGGAAAAUAAGUAUGGCAGAUUUAUUCAUACAUUUUUUGUUUCAAGGUUAGGUUAAAACAAUGAGAGCAGACCUUUCUCUUGGACAGCAGUUUUUUUGGAGCAUGCUCUUCAAGAGCUCCUUCAUCAAUGAAAGGUUGUAACUUUUCACUUUGUCCAUCAGUAUCGAGAGAGGCUGCAGUUGAAUCCAAAGACCCAGCAGGCAUUUCCUGUGUUUCUUCAGGACUCGAGCUCUCUGAUGUUACACAAACUUUGUCCAAGUCAGAACAAGAUUGUAAUAACUGCGGCUGAAGGCCAAAUUGUUCUCUUGAUCCUUGAUCACUGUUAGUUUUACAGAUGUCAUCAUCCACUGUAACCUUUAACUGAUCUGUAUCCUUUGAUAACCACUCUGUAACACAAGGAAGUAAGAGCUGACCACCAUGUGGAGCUUUGGAUCCAGUGGGUUCUCUGUCAGUGCCCUCACUUACGAAUGGGCUUGAAAUGAUGGCAGCACCUGAGACACCAACAGGAGUUUCAGUUUCAGUACUCUUCCUCUGUGCAUGAUUAUUCAGAGCAUCAUAUACUAUACUUUCUAGCCGUCCAUCUUGUGUGGUAAAAUUGGCAGCUUUCACUGAGUCAAGAGUCUUGUUAAAAGCAAAAGUGCAAUCGAUAGUUGCAUGUCCAACAUCAAUAGGUAAUACAUCCUUUGUUCCAACACUGUGCUGAACUAGUGAAUCAAAUUGACCAUCUGCCUUCAUCUGCACAACCUCUGCAAGCGACGUGAAGUUGCUUUCUGCACUUCCACAUAAAUCAGAUUGGAUGACCACGGAUGGAGACCCCACCUCUGCGUUACACUGAUCAGUAGAACUUUCUAUAGUCUUUGUGCUUUCCAGUGUACUGCCAUGUAGAUCUCGUGGAUACCAGUAUUCAUCAAUGUCUAUAUGAUCUUCACAAGACAUAUUAACAGAACAUACCAAAUAAUCAUUGACAACUGAAGACUUGUCUUCAUCUAAAUUUGUUAUAUUGCCUGAUGUUUUAUGGCAGUUGCUCAUUUCAUCAGUGAUAUCCAAUGAAGAAAGACUGUCAUUUGUCUUGUUUUGCAGUAUAAUGUCAUCCAAACAGUAUGCUUUGAUACUGUUAGCUAGCUCACAGGAAUCAUCAGAAACAUCCUUUAGUUCAAUCGGUUGAGGGAUGACACCACUGUGUUGUUGACAUCCAUCAUACUCUAUUGGCUCCCUAUGCAACUCAGCAAAUGAGUCCUGAAAGGAGUCCUUUCCUGGACUAGAUACUCCAACUUGCUCAUCAGAGUAAAUAUCCUCAUCCUCAGUCUUGAUUUCGCAAAAUAUGUCUGGGCUUCUACCACUUAUUACAGCACCAGUUGAUAAUGGUGUGUUUUCCAUUUCAGCAUAUAAAAUGUUCUCCCCAACUAUUUCUUCAGUAUUACCUGAAAAUAAAGAACAUACACAGCAUUUACAAUAUGUUUGAAAAAAAGGAACCUAAGUAGGUCUAUUUCAAGAAAAAUGUACUGGCGAAAAUAAGAGGUUUUGCAGAUUCAUCUGCUACAUCCAGUUCAUUCAUAUGUUGCAUCUAUACUGAAAAAAGGGUAUUUGUAUUGAAAGACUGCAGUAUGUUUGGAUAAGAAAAGACUCACCAGCAGCAAUUGUGGAGUGUUUUACAUCUGCAGCACUCCUUUCCAUCUUCUCUGCAGUUGACAUAGAGUCAUGUGAUGUUACCUCAAGUGGGGGUAAUUUUAUAGGCUCAGUCUCCUCUCUCCUCAAUGUUGUAUCUUGCAGUUUUACAGCAUUUAGAGAUAUUGGUUUGCCCAUUGUUCUGUUUGAUUUGGUAGGGGAUGUCUUCUGCCGCUUCUGUCUGAAUGCAAUAAUGGGCUCAUCAAGAUCAACUUCCUCUUUUGGUACUUCAUCUUCAAGGUUUCUCUUUCCACAUUGUCUCUGAUUCUUAAAGUCAGGUCUUUCAGAAUCAACUUUCAAGGCCCUCCUGUUCUUAGCUUUACACUGAGCUCUUAAAUCCUUCAGAGACACAUUCUGAAAGUCUUCGUCACCAACAGAAUCAUCAUUAAAUUCUGGGUUGGAAGGAGAUGCAAUUUCUUCAAGAUCGAUGACCUCAGUUUUGACAGGCCCCAAGGUAGGAUAGUUCGUUUCAGAAUGUUCACCAUAUAUAACAUGGAUAUUCUUGAGCCUAGGAGAUCGCCUAGGAGAAAUCAGGUUAGUCUUUUUGCAAGCAGCACCAGGCAUUGUCACUUUCAAGUAGCAGACUACAGAUUCAAACUUGUAUCGAAAUCAACUUGGCAAUUGUAAAUGUCAAAAAGUUUCCUGCAGGAGUGAAGAAAACCAGAUGUUAUGACCAAAUGUAUGCACAAUAGAUGAAUAACAGAAGCCAUAUUAUCUUUAAGAUGAAACAUAUUCUUUUUCUAGAUGAAACAGGGUCAUAUUCAAUUAAAGCACUAGAGCAGGAUAAUAGGCAAAUCGUGUCAUUACGAAAUCAUAAUAUAUGCUGGGACAUUAUCAUUAGCUCUCCUAUUUCCCAUCAUAGAACAGAAAAAUAAGGUGCACAUAUUAUAAAAAUAACAGGAAAAAAAGACAUAGAAAGUAGCAAGUGGUUUUGCAAUAAUCAAUUUUGUGAUUACACAGGAAUGCUUCUAAUAAACAUACGGGAAACUUAGUGCUAGAGUGAAUCAAUAAGGCUUCGUUCAGCAACAAGGGGGGAGGGGGGGGAUUUCCCCAGGGAGAUUCACCCAAGGGGGGGGGAUUGGGUUAAUCCCCUCCCACCACCCAAUCCCCUUUCACCCUGAGAUUUGCAUUUCACAUGUUUGGAACGUGGGGAUUAGGGGAUGACUCUGGAGUAACAUUUAAGUAUAGAAGUUACAAACUUUAAAGAUUGUGUUGUAAAAAAUUCAAAUUGCAAUAAAAAAAUCAGGUUUGAAAUGAGUCUAUAGGGAUUAACGAUAGCAUUGCAGAAAAUUCAAAAUAUUGUAUGGUACAAUUCAAAAUUUCUUUGGAAAAUCAGCAAAUUUCUGAAAACACCCUAGAAAAUUUGAAUGAGUGUGCGCCAUCACAUCUGACAUGCUUUUUUAAAAAAAUACAGUAUCAGGUAUAAGCAAUGUUAAUAUACUAAAUCUGUAGGAAUUGAAAUCAGGCACUUACAUAUAACCUUCUCUAUCAAAAAGUAAAGGAUUCCUCUCUACAACAAAACUAGAGUCCCAUCUGGUUCCUCUCAAAAGUGCUGACCGCAAAACUAAGAUGAAGAGUCCCUCGAUGUCCUUGCCGGAUCUUGCAGGGAGAGAGUGCGUGCCGCCGGAUCUUGUAGCGGGGCAGGGGCAGGGGCACGUGGCGGCAGAUCUUGCACGGAGGGGAGGAGGCAACAAACCCGUAAGUAAGCUUCUUGGCGGAGGAGGAGGGCAGCGCCAUGGAGAGGGAGUAAGGGCGUACCUGGAGGCUGGGCGGCGGAUCUGGACAGCGCGCCGUACAACGGUCGAGAGGGGCGAUGUAAUUUGCAGGGAUGGGAAGCGGCGGCGGCGGCGGCGGUAGUGGGGGAAUGGAGGCGGUGGCUGGCGCUGGUGGAGGGGAGGCGGCGGCGGCGGAUGAGGCGGAGGCGGCGUUCUUGGCGGCAGAGAAGGGAGGGAGUUUGUGGAAUGGAAUUUUGAGUACUAGGGUUUUUCCUCCCUACUGCUGGGCUUCCCGUUCGGAGGCACUGUUUUUAUUAUUAUUAUUGCGUUGCGGCGCCCAGCGCCAGGUGGAAGUGGAAAAAGAAGGGGAGGGAAAUUUUGGCGCCAGCUAGAGCCUAGAGGAGGAGAGGGUUGGCGGGAAGGAGAAGCAAAAUUGCGUGCCCGCCCGCUCCUCCUCCUCCUCGAUCAGGUUUCGUUUUAGUACUAAACUAAAAUUACCGCGUCAGGUAGCGCGCCCGUUAUUUCAUACCCCCACAUGGCCAUAUAUACUUGUUUCUCCUUUCUGCUAAUAGGUUAAACAAGUUUAUAUGAAAAUGUAGAGACAGUUUUAAAACCCAAAAAUAUAUUCAAUGGUGGUGGUGUAAACUACGUUUUUCUAUUAACUCGGUCAAAAUCAAAAUACUUUAACUUAGAAAAAUGCCAUGCAUUCUAAAACAAAUGUAUUAUCUUGGCAUCUAAUUUGUAUUAGCUUCUAAUAGGCUAUUAAAUAAAGUAUUCAGUGGUUUUAUUGCGUGACAAACUUCUGUAGUGCUGCUCCCAAAUCGAAAGGCAUUUUCACUUUGAUGUUCUGUGCUGCAAUUUGAUGGUGGGAUGUCGCGUCCUAAAAUCACCCUAAAAUUUUAUCGCCUAAAAUUUUUUCGUUGAAUUAUUUCUAGAAAUUGAAAAAGUCAAAAAUAGCCUUCAACAAUUAAAAAUCAUCAAGUUUCAACUCAAAUUUGUGUGCGGGGAUUUUUUUUUAAUUCCUCAUGCUUGAAAUUAUUUAAACAAUUUUUAAUUGAAUUUCAGAGCAUUAUAAAUAUUUUUAACCUUUCUUAGUUUUUAUUAAAAGAAAAACUAAAAUAAAUUUCCCUCCCUCUCCUUGGGCCAUUUUCAGCCCAUCUCUUCCUCUAUCUUUCUCCCUCCGGGCCGCCCCGGCCUGCUUUUCCUCUCCUUCCUCCUUCCACCGUCGGCCGCGCCUACCCCCUUCCCAAUCCAGCUGAGCCGCCAGCCCACUACCUCCUCGCGCCGCCUAUCAUGCUGACCAGCCCGAGCCGCCCCCUCCCCAGCCCAGCCGAGCCACUGCUCCUGUUGCACGUGAGGCUGCCACGCCGCACGUGCGAUGCACGCGCACAACGUCGUGGGUCCCGCCUGUCCGAGGUGUCUCCUACCUCCAGUCGGCCCUGUCUCUCUCUCUCGUGAACUCAAGCGUCGCCGCCCCCUUGAUUUCCCUCCUCAGUUGGUUUCCAAAAACCGGUUUCUUGUGUAGUGGACAUCAAUUCCCCCCAACAAAUCCCACUUAAUCCCGCACUAAAUCGCACUCAAUCGAUUUCUUUAACCGGUGUCUUCAAUAGGGAGUUUCACUGUCGCUGGUGCCGUUUCCCAUCCUCACGGCAGACCGAGCAAGUUUAAUAGUAUAGUCAACUACUAGCUCCAAUUCAUCUAUAGCCAAUCUAACAGCUCAUUUAUACAGUAGUUACAUACUACACUAUUAAUAUCUGGUCCCACCUGUCAUACACACACUAUGUCUUGGAGUCCGUGUUAUAGCUGGCUACAAAUCUGUAGCCCGCUACUCUUUUCUCUUCUCAUUUAUCUACUUAAAGUAUGUUUGCAACUGGCUUAUAGCCUGCUAUUGUACUUGCUCUAAAGGGAACCCGCAAGACCUCCUCCUCCUCCCAUUCCCUGUGCCGCUCGAGCGCCAUGCUCGCUCCAUCGCCGUCGCGCCACUUCUCUUCGAGUACUGCCGCCGGCAUGCGCUCCAGCCGCCGAGGCUUGGCAUCGGCAGGUACUUCGCCAAGCCUUGGUUAGGCCACCGCCGGCUUUUCCGUCUCCUCUCCCUCGCCCACGUCGCAGGAUUUAGAGUAAAGGUGUCAAUUAAAUAGGUGGUUCACUAUACAAUUUUUAUUGUGUUAACUAGCAUAUAUAAUAUAGUUUUAAUCUCGAUCAAAUUUUUAGGUGGUCUAUAGACCACAGUGCCACCUAGCUAGCUACGCCACUGCCACGUCGUCUCCAAGCUCGGCAAGCCCUGGAGCUCCAUCCGCGACGUCAACCCGAGCCGGCCACUUCUUCUUCCUCGUCGCCCUCACUGUUGUCACCGUCCCCGCUACUCUGGUGAGCCCUGCCGCCGCCCUCACCUCUCCCGUGUCGCGCCGCUGCGCCAUGGCUGCCGGUGGAGACCAGUUGCCAUGUCCUCAUCAGUCAGUGUCAUCUAUCUCCCUCCCCAUUGUUUCUCUGUUUCUCCCCCUCUAUCUCUCUCUCUCUCCUCUUCUCUUCUCUGUUACAGUACAGAGUAGACUUUUUUUUACAAAAUUAAUUCACAAAUUUGUAAAAUGCCAUUCAAAUAACACCUAAAAUUCAAAUGGCUAUAUCUUGACUAUUUGAGCUCGGAAUCGACCCGUUCAAUUUGCCAUUUUUUCCCUUAAACAGUAAAAAACCUAUUUUUAUGCUUUGUUUAUGCAUCUUAUGGUUUUAAUUUAUGUUUUGGCCAUUUUUCUUUGCGUAUGCCGUGUAGACUCUGCAAAUCCGGAAGAGCCGCUCUACCUCGAGGUUGAUCCAAAAUAUUUUGGUAGCGAGCAAGGCAAGUCAUGUCAUUUUGAUCAUAUUGCUGUCCCAAUUUACAAAAUUAUGUUUAUUUAAAUUAUUGCAUUUCGUUCUAUUAAAUUCAUGUGCUUAUCACUGUUUUAUUUAGCCUGACCAAUUCUCCUUGUUAUAGCCUUAUUAUUUGUAUUAUUACAAUCCUUGAUUAACCCUAGGAAAAAUAAAACUAGUGAGAACAUUAUAUGUGGUGCUUACUAGUAAAUUUAGGAAUAUGCUUAGCUCUGCUUAAAUAGAAACAUUAGAUGUUUUUCAAUAAUUAGACUUUGGGAAUAACUUUUAAAUAAUGGUUAAUAUAGUUUAGUGGGUGUUUAGCCAUGACAUGAUAUUUCCCCUUCAAAAAUCCCCAAACAUGUUUUCGGCUAGGCUCGGGGUGCUUGGUUUCGCUAUUCACACCUUGGCCGUCAUAAGGAACGGUCUUCGGGGCCUCUCUUGCAAAGCAUAUUCCGUACAACCACAUGUCUAAUGAGUAAGACUUAACACAUCGUCUAGUACGGUCAUAAACAAGGAAAGACACUGAUAGGGAUGGAUGAAGCCCUUGAUGGGGGUCGACGUCUCUAGCUGUAUGCCGGGGGCAUAGACAUCUACUCGACCUAAGGCACAUAGCGAGGGAAGUCUAUGUCGGUCCUCUUUGUUUAGAGCAGUACUAAAUGAUGGGUUAUGUCAUGGCUUCUAUCCGUGCCAUGGUGGCAUGUGGCACAUGGCAACAUGUGAGGAAGACGUGCCUGGUGGGUAACGAUGUACACCUCUGAUUAGAGUAUAAUCUAUUCGAAUAACCAUGCCCUCGGUUAUGAGCAAGUCGAGCAAUGUACCCAAGUUAGAGUUUAUUUCUAUUAAAAUUUGAAUAACUGGGGUUAUCACUUGUUGGCCUGGGUUAAGGCAAGAUCGUGUUGAAGCGUGGCUUGGUAAUAAUUUGACUAUAGAUAGGUUUGUGUUUUAUUUAAAUGCAUUUAAAUAUGUACUCCCCAUGUCCUAUAAUAUAAGGGAUUUUAGAUGGAUGUGGCACAUCCUAGUAAAAAAAUCUGGACUUGGACUUGGAUGGAGGAGUAAAUGCUUUGAAAUGCUAGUUUUCUGCAACAUAGCCUUAUAAAUAAAUUUUUUGCCACCGUUAAUUCAUAAAGGAUAAUUUAGGAAAAAAUAUUAUUAAUAAGAAUAGCUUAGUAAUUGAUCCAUCACCAAUUCUCCAUCCACUGCCUAGCGUUCACGAUUUCCUUUUCUCGAUUCCAGUUUUUAACCCUAAUCAAUUCCAAAUUUCCAAUCCCAAUUAAAUGAGCUCGGAGGCAAGGAGUAGGGGCUGCGCGUGCGACGGCGGUGACUAGCAAGCACGUGCGAGGCGGCGAUCGGCUGGCGCAAGCAGUGGUUGUGACCAGCGGGUGUGACGGGUGCUGCGGCGGCGGUGAUGACAACCGGCUGCCGCAUACGUCGGCUGCGACGGGCGCGUGCAGCGGCGGAGACGGUGACCGAGUGCUACAUUAGUCUGCUGUGACCGGAGGGCGCAUACGGCAGCAGCGACCUCAGCACGUGUGCAGCGGCUGAGACCGGUGGGCGCGUGCAGCCUCGGUGAGCGGCGGGCGCGUACAGCGGUUGCAGGUGUGCAGAUGUAUAUGCACAUAUCGGUAAAAGUAUUACAUAAACGUUUAACUACAGAAAGAAGCACAACGUUCUUCCUCCUUUGCUGCAUGAAUGCAGCUUGUCUUGAAACAGAUAGGAGUAGGAUACAGAUCUAAAAAUAAGACGAUUUUGUCCUUAGCCGUACAAAUCAAUUAUAAAAUUCAAUUAUCAUUUUAACCUUCUACCUUCCAUACCUGGCAUACCCUUUUAAUAUCUUUCUCCUAGUACCUUCUCUCUUAGAGCGUUAGAUCAUUAGAAAUCAACGAUCCUAAUUAAUUUCCAAGCACAUAAGAAUAUCUCGUUUUAAGAACACUGGUGGAGAAACCAUAUUUGAUUGGUCGACCCAAAUCUACAAUAGUCCCGGUUCUAUUCCAACAACAGGACUAGAUGAUCUUUAUUCCCGGUUUGUGUUACCAACCGGGACUAAAAAUCAUCUUUAGUCCCGGUUGGUAUUUUUAGUCCCGGUUGAUUCCAUGUCAGACCGUGUCAGGCACCUAGGGUCUUUAGUUCCAGUUUGAAACACCAACCGGGACUAAAGAUCUAACUUUAGUCCCGGUUGUUGUUACUAACCGGGAAUAAAAAUCAACACGUACUAUAUAAUCCCUAUUACUUAUCCUCUUCUCUCGUCCACACAACAAACUCUAUCUCUUUCUUUCUUUAUUCCUCUCUAACUCCUGCCUUAUCUCUUUCUUCCUUCCUCUCUUUUUUUGUGGAUUGAGCGAGAUCGAGGGCC